Molecule: long non-coding RNA, 2174 nt
Filed under: Paramuricea clavata
Lineage: Eukaryota; Metazoa; Cnidaria; Anthozoa; Malacalcyonacea; Plexauridae
Source: RNAcentral
GUAUGGCGCUCAUAUUUGUGACAUUGUUUUGUUCGCUUUGGCAACCCUCGUAUAUAUCAGAUGCUGUUCGGCCUCAAAGUCAAAUGCGACUGAAUGAACACUGAUGGUGUUGCCUGGAAUAUGAAAUGAUAUUGACUGAUUGUUCUGUAUAUCAAGGUAGGUACUGUACAUUUAUACUGAAUUUAUUUUCACACGAGUUUCAAACUAUUUCAGCCUUAUAAUGAACAGUGAGAUCACAUCACUAACAUACAGCCAUACAGAAAGACAGAAAGAAUUUUCUCAUCAAUUCUGAUUAUCGUUACAAGUAACAGUAUAAAUGCUUCAAAAUUUAUUUGUUUUCUACAGUAUGUAAUGCAGGGCAGCAUGCUUUCAUUUUGCUUUGGUGGUAGUCACCACUCACCAAGUCAAAUGGGCCAUUCCAUCUAUAAAUAGCCCCACUAUUGAGGUCUGGAUAUCCUAUAUGGGGAUUUUAGAGAGGGGGAUUUUACCUUAAAUUUUUCUGGAGGGUAGCUUAAGAGAUUUCCAAAAAAAUUAGGUGUUUUAGUGAUAUCCAAAGGGGCAGGAACAAUAUCCUAAAGGGGUAGAAAGAUAUCCAUGGGGGUUCCAAAAUUGCAUCCAAUGGGGUUCCAAAAUGUUUAAGGUAAUAGUAUUAUGAAGAGACCCCUCAAUAGGGUGUGGGGGCUAUAUUAAAUGGAAUUGCCCAGUGUGCUGCAACAACUUUUAAAAUUUGUAUAUAUGUUUUUAAGGCACAAUAUGUGAUGGAGUUUGAUAUGAUGAUCAGCACAACAUGGAUGUCUUGACUGAAUGAACAACUUAUGUGAUAUACUCCUAGUUCCAAUACUUUGCUGUAUAUUAUCACCAGCUCAGAUGUCAGUUGGAUCACUUUGAAUGAACAUUGGAGUGGCACAAUAAAGUGUCUGUAUUAGGGUGGAGUCUAUAAUUAAGGACUGAAGUAAAAGGCACACUUUUGGAUAUUAAUUUGAAUCAUAGCAACUACAUAUAGGUUUCAAAUAAGUUUGAACAAUGAACAACUGAAAAUAAAAAUUUAUUUGAUUUGAAACACUCAAAGGAAUUACAACAUAUUAUAUGAUAGUCAUAUGUACAUGAUUAUGGGUAUAUUCAUUAGUUUUAUUAGCUGAUAUUUAUGACCAUCCUGGGACAACAUUUUAUUUUUCCCAAGAGAUUUUACUUGCAUGGUAGUAAUAUAGUAACAGAGAAGUGUGAUGGAUAUGUGCAAGUAAUUAUCAUUGGAAAUACAAAUAUUAAACUGUAAUUUUCACCAUUGUAAAUGAUUGUAUUAUUAAAGAAACAAAAUACAAAAGUCAAACAAGGCUAUUUAAAAUAAUACAGUCAUAAUACUAGACUGGUUAAAGAACUACUGAAUAGAGGCAUCAUGAAAAUAUUCUAAGAUUACUACCAUGGCUCUGUACCAGGGAAAGGUAUAGUGAGUUUCUUCACCUUGAUGAACAUUAGAAAACUAUAAUGCCAUCAACUCAUUCCCAUUUAAAAAUUUUCAUGUUGGUCAAUGUGAAAUAUAAUCUUGAGGCCAACGUGUGAAAAUAAAUCGAAUAAAUUCAGUAUAAAUGUACAGUACCUACCUUGAUAUACAGAACAAUCAGUCAAUAUCAUUUCAUAUUCCAGGCAACACCAUCAGUGUUCAUUCAGUCGCAUUUGAGGCCGAACAGCAACUUUGAGGGUUGCCAAAGCGAACAAAACAAUGUCACAAAUAUGAGCGCCAUACUCCGACAAAUUGAUACAAUAUGAUGCCGAAUGUUGCACAGUUUUGUGUACAUGUGUGUUCACAGCUUAUAUCUGAAGUAUUUUUCUUAAAAUUUGUUAAAACUUUGAGAAUAAAUACAUAAAGAACCAACAAAACAUGUGUAUUUUUAAGCAAGAAAAUCGUAAGCGCCAGCGCUAAUUGUAGUCAGCAACAUAACGUUGUCGUUACUGCGCAUGCGAUAAAUCUCCAAGAAUCUUGGAGAUUUCAUCGUAUUUUACCAGGGUCUUCCUCAGCUCACGCGCCACCACGAGGAAGACCCUGGGGACGAGGUUGCUGAGUUCCUUAGGGGUAAAUUUUGCAAUCAAAGUUGCCUAAUAUUGAAAUUGGCCCAUAGCAACCACCUUAGCAACCAAAUGCUGUGGUUAAAUCGAUGUUAUUGGCUCGUUAUUGCUGA